This 402-nucleotide ribosomal RNA is filed under the name Clostridiales bacterium. Its description in RNAcentral is "bacterial SSU rRNA". It matches the Rfam family "Bacterial small subunit ribosomal RNA", at positions 1 to 402 of the family's 1533-position model. The record is from RNAcentral. Lineage: Bacteria; Bacillati; Bacillota; Clostridia; Eubacteriales.
UUUAUUUAGAGUUUGAUUCUGGCUCAGGACGAACGCUGGCGGCGUGCUUAACACAUGCAAGUCGAGCGGAAUAUGGGAGCUUGCUCCUAUAUUUAGCGGCGGACGGGUGAGUAACGCGUGAGCAACCUGCCUUAGACUGCGGGAUAACACUUAGAAAUAGGUGCUAAUACCGCAUAAGACCACACUCCGGCAUCGGAGAGGGGUAAAAGAUUUAUCGGUUUAAGAUGGGCUCGCGUCCCAUUAGUUAGUUGGUGAGGUAACGGCCCACCAAGACUAUGAUGGGUAGCCGACCUGAGAGGGUGAUCGGCCACAUUGGAACUGAGAAACGGUCCAAACUCCUACGGGAGGCAGCAGUGGGGAAUAUUGGGCAAUGGAGGCAACUCUGACCCAGCAACGCCGCGU